RNAcentral lists this ribosomal RNA (1483 nucleotides) under uncultured Bacteroidales bacterium. RNAcentral describes it as "bacterial SSU rRNA". It matches the Rfam family "Bacterial small subunit ribosomal RNA". Lineage: Bacteria; Pseudomonadati; Bacteroidota; Bacteroidia; Bacteroidales. The record is from RNAcentral.
AGAGUUUGAUCCUGGCUCAGGAUGAACGCUAGCGACAGGCCUAACACAUGCAAGUCGAGGGGCAGCGGGAUUGAAGCUUGCUUUAAUUGCCGGCGACCGGCGCACGGGUGCGUAACAGGUGUGCAAUCUGUCCAUAGUCGGGGAAUAGCCCAGCGAAAGCUGAAUUAACACUCCAUGUGUCACGAAGCCGCAUGACUUUGUGAUGAAACGCAAGGACUAUGGGUGAGCACGCUUCUGAUUAGGUAGUUGGUGGGGUAACGGCCCACCAAGCCGACGAUCAGUAGGGGUUCUGAGAGGAAGGUCCCCCACAUUGGAACUGAGACACGGUCCAAACUCCUACGGGAGGCAGCAGUGAGGAAUAUUGGUCACCAGCCAAGUCGCGUGAAGGAUGAAGGUUCUAUGGAUUGUAAACUUCUUUUGUCCGAGGGUAAAGGAGGCUACGUGUAGCUUUUUGCAAGUAUCGGACGAAUAAGCAUCGGCUAACUCCGUGCCAGCAGCCGCGGUAAUACGGAGGAUGCGAGCGUUAUCCGGAUUUAUUGGGUUUAAAGGGUGCGUAGGUGGUUUGUUAAGUUUGUGGUGAAAGCGUGCGGCUCAACCGUACCAAGCCAUGAAAACUGGCGAACUUGAGUGCAAACGAGGUAGGCGGAAUGUGAUGUGUAGCGGUGAAAUGCUUAGAUAUGUCACAGAACCCCGAUUGCGAAGGCAGCUUACCAGCAUGCAACUGACACUGAGGCACGAAAGCGUGGGUAUCAAACAGGAUUAGAUACCCUGGUAGUCCACGCAGUAAACGAUGAAUACUAGCUGUUGGCGAUAUAAUGUCAGCGGUACAGCGAAAGUGUUAAGUAUUCCACCUGGGGAGUACGCCGGCAACGGUGAAACUCAAAGGAAUUGACGGGGGCCCGCACAAGCGGAGGAACAUGUGGUUUAAUUCGAUGACCCUUCGGGGCACGAAACUAGGUGCUGCAUGGUUGUCGUCAGCUCGUGCCGUGAGGUGUCGGCUUAAGUGCCAUAACGAGCGCAACCCUUGCCGUUAGUUGCCAGCGGGUAAUGCCGGGAACUCUAGCGGGACUGCUACUGUAAGGUAGAGGAAGGUGGGGAUGACGUCAAAUCAGCACGGCCCUUACGUCCGGGGCGACACACGUGUUACAAUGGUGAGUACAGAGGGUUGCUACCCCGCGAGGGGAUGCUAAUCUCGUAAAACUCAUCUCAGUUCGGAUCGGAGUCUGCAACUCGACUCCGUGAAGCUGGAUUCGCUAGUAAUCGCGCAUCAGCCAUGGCGCGGUGAAUACGUUCCCGGGCCUUGUNNNNNNAAUCGCGCAUCAGCCAUGGCGCGGUGAAUACGUUCCCGGGCCUUGUACACACCGCCCGUCAAGCCAUGGAAGCUGGGGGUACCUGAAGUCUGCAACCGCAAGGAGCGGCCUAGGGUAAAACUGGUAACUGGGGCUAAGUCGUAACAAGGUAGCCGUACCGGAAGGUGCGGCUG